This 253-nucleotide ribosomal RNA is filed under the name uncultured bacterium. RNAcentral describes it as "partial 16S ribosomal RNA". It matches the Rfam family "Bacterial small subunit ribosomal RNA", at positions 524 to 776 of the family's 1533-position model. The record is from RNAcentral.
UACGAAGGGGACUAGCGUUGCUCGGAAUCACUGGGCGUAAAGCGCACGUAGGCGGAUUGUUAAGUCAGGGGUGAAAUCCUGGAGCUCAACUCCAGAACUGCCUUUGAUACUGACGGUCUUGAGUUCGGGAGAGGUGAGUGGAACUGCGAGUGUAGAGGUGAAAUUCGUAGAUAUUCGCAAGAACACCAGUGGCGAAGGCGGCUCACUGGCCCGAUACUGACGCUGAGGUGCGAAAGCGUGGGGAGCAAACAGG